Molecule: ribosomal RNA, 444 nt
Filed under: uncultured bacterium
Lineage: Bacteria
Description: bacterial SSU rRNA
Rfam family: Bacterial small subunit ribosomal RNA
Source: RNAcentral
UCCCAGACUCCUACGGGAGGCAGCAGUGGGGAAUAUUGCACAAUGGGGGAAACCCUGAUGCAGCGACGCCGCGUGAGUGAAGAAGUAUUUCGGUAUGUAAAGCUCUAUCAGCAGGGAAGAAAAUGACGGUACCUGACUAAGAAGCCCCGGCUAACUACGUGCCAGCAGCCGCGGUAAUACGUAGGGGGCAAGCGUUAUCCGGAUUUACUGGGUGUAAAGGGAGCGUAGACGGCAUGGCAAGUCAGAUGUGAAAGCCCGGGGCUCAACCCCGGGACUGCAUUUGAAACUGUCAGGCUGGAGUGCAGGAGAGGUAAGUGGAAUUCCUAGUGUAGCGGUGAAAUGCGUAGAUAAUAGGAGGAACACCAGUGGCGAAGGCGGCUUACGGGACUGUAACUGACGUUGAGGCUCGAAAGCGUGGGGAGCAAACAGGAUUAGAUACCGUAC